GCGGAGGAAAAAGAAACCAACAGGAUUGCCCUAGUAACGGCGAGUGAAGCGGCACAGCUCAAAUUUGAAAGCUGGCCUUCGGGUCCGCAUUGUAAUUUGUAGAGGAUGCUUUGGGUAAAACGCCAGUCUAAGUUCCCUUGGAACAGGACGUCAUAGAGGGUGAGAAUCCCGUAUGUGACUGGAAAUGUUAACCUAUGUAAAGCUCCUUCGACGAGUCGAGUUGUUUGGGAAUGCAGCUCUAAAUGGGAGGUAAAUUUCUUCUAAAGCUAAAUAUUGGCGAGAGACCGAUAGCGCACAAGUAGAGUGAUCGAAAGAUGAAAAGCACUUUGGAAAGAGAGUUAAAAAGCACGUGAAAUUGUUGAAAGGGAAGCGCUUGCAAUCAGACUUGUUUAAACUGUUCGGCCGGUCUUCUGACCGGUUUACUCAGUUUGGACAGGCCAGCAUCAGUUUCGGCGGCCGGAUAAAGGCUCUGGGAAUGUGGCCUCCACUUCGGUGGAGGUGUUAUAGCCCAGUGUGUAAUACGGCCAGCCGGGACUGAGGUCCGCGCUUCGGCUAGGAUGCUGGCGUAAUGGUUGUAAGCGACCCGU
Molecule: ribosomal RNA, 587 nt
Filed under: Aureobasidium subglaciale
Lineage: Eukaryota; Fungi; Ascomycota; Dothideomycetes; Dothideales; Saccotheciaceae
Description: eukaryotic LSU rRNA
Rfam family: Eukaryotic large subunit ribosomal RNA
Source: RNAcentral